ACCGCAUACGUCCUACGGGAGAAAGCAGGGGAUCUUCGGACCUUGCGCUAAUAGAUGAGCCUAAGUCGGAUUAGCUAGUUGGUGGGGUAAAGGCCUACCAAGGCGACGAUCUGUAGCGGGUCUGAGAGGAUGAUCCGCCACACUGGGACUGAGACACGGCCCAGACUCCUACGGGAGGCAGCAGUGGGGAAUAUUGGACAAUGGGCGCAAGCCUGAUCCAGCCAUGCCGCGUGUGUGAAGAAGGCCUUAUGGUUGUAAAGCACUUUAAGCGAGGAGGAGGCUACUUUAGUUAAUACCUAGAGAUAGUGGACGUUACUCGCAGAAUAAGCACCGGCUAACUCUGUGCCAGCAGCCGCGGUAAUACAGAGGGUGCAAGCGUUAAUCGGAUUUACUGGGCGUAAAGCGCGCGUAGGCGGCUAAUUAAGUCAAAUGUGAAAUCCCCGAGCUUAACUUGGGAAUUGCAUUCGAUACUGGUUAGCUAGAGUGUGGGAGAGGAUGGUAGAAUUCCAGGUGUAGCGGUGAAAUGCGUAGAGAUCUGGAGGAAUACCGAUGGCGAAGGCAGCCAUCUGGCCUAACACUGACGCUGAGGUGCGAAAGCAUGGGGAGCAAACAGGAUUAGAUACCCUGGUAGUCCAUGCCGUAAACGAUGUCUACUAGCCGUUGGGGCCUUUGAGGCUUUAGUGGCGCAGCUAACGC
This 696-nucleotide ribosomal RNA is filed under the name Acinetobacter rhizosphaerae. RNAcentral's name for it is "bacterial SSU rRNA". It matches the Rfam family "Bacterial small subunit ribosomal RNA", at positions 168 to 858 of the family's 1533-position model. Lineage: Bacteria; Pseudomonadati; Pseudomonadota; Gammaproteobacteria; Moraxellales; Moraxellaceae. The record is from RNAcentral.